CUUUCAGAUACGGAUGAAUAUAGACCUCCAGUUUGGAAAUCUUACUUGUACCAGCUGCAGCAGGAAGCUCCUCACCCUCGGAGGAUGACCUGUACUAGUGAGGUAGAAAACAGACCAAAGUAUUAUGGAAGAGAGUAAG
Long non-coding RNA from Echinops telfairi (small Madagascar hedgehog), 139 nucleotides. RefSeq lists it as uncharacterized. The transcript has 3 exons. The record is from RefSeq and is a predicted model, not a curated record. NCBI's taxonomy places the organism in Eukaryota, Metazoa, Chordata, Mammalia, Afrosoricida, Tenrecidae.